This 439-nucleotide ribosomal RNA is filed under the name uncultured Sphingomonas sp. RNAcentral describes it as "bacterial SSU rRNA". It matches the Rfam family "Bacterial small subunit ribosomal RNA", at positions 945 to 1382 of the family's 1533-position model. Lineage: Bacteria; Pseudomonadati; Pseudomonadota; Alphaproteobacteria; Sphingomonadales; Sphingomonadaceae. The record is from RNAcentral.
UUUAAUUCGAAGCAACGCGCAGAACCUUACCAGCGUUUGUACAUGGUAGGACGACUGGCAGAGAUGCCUUUCUUCCCUUCGGGGACCUACACACAGGUGCUGCAUGGCUGUCGUCAGCUCGUGUCGUGAGAUGUUGGGUUAAGUCCCGCAACGAGCGCAACCCUCGACUUUAGUUACCAUCAUUAAGUUGGGUACUUUAAAGUAACCGCCGGCGAUAAGCCGGAGGAAGGUGGGGAUGACGUCAAGUCCUCAUGGCCCUUACGCGCUGGGCUACACACGUGCUACAAUGGCAAGUACAGUGGGCAGCAAUCCCGCGAGGGUGAGCUAAUCUCCAAAACUUAGUCUCAGUUCGGAUUGUUCUCUGCAACUCGAGAGCAUGAAGGCGGAAUCGCUAGUAAUCGCGGAUCAGCAUGCCGCGGUGAAUACGUUCCCAGGCCUU